Molecule: ribosomal RNA, 422 nt
Filed under: Verrucomicrobiota bacterium
Lineage: Bacteria; Pseudomonadati; Verrucomicrobiota
Description: Verrucomicrobia bacterium partial 16S ribosomal RNA
Rfam family: Bacterial small subunit ribosomal RNA
Source: RNAcentral
UGGGGAAUUUUGCACAAUGGGCGCAAGCCUGAUGCAGCGACGCCGCGUGAGGGAUGAAGGCCUUCGGGUUGUAAACCUUUUUCGCUCAUGGUCAAGCCGCAGCUUUGGGUUGUGGUGAGGGUAGUGGGUAAAGAAGCGCCGGCUAACUACGUGCCAGCAGCCGCGGUAAUACGUAGGGCGCGAGCGUUGUCCGGAAUUAUUGGGCGUAAAGGGCUUGUAGGCGGUUGGCCGCGUCUGCCGUGAAAUCCUCUGGCUUAACUGGGGGCGUGCGGUGGGUACGGGUUGGCUUGAGGGCGGUAGGGGAGACUGGGAUUCCUGGGGUGGCGGGGGAAUGCGGAGAUAUCAGGGGGAACACCGGUGGCGAAGGCGGGUCUCUGGGCCGUUACUGACGCUGGGGAGCGAAAGCGUGGGUAGCAAACAGG